RNAcentral lists this long non-coding RNA (1300 nucleotides) under Vigna radiata. Its description in RNAcentral is "long non-coding RNA (VRAD_LNC005928)". The record is from RNAcentral. Lineage: Eukaryota; Viridiplantae; Streptophyta; Magnoliopsida; Fabales; Fabaceae.
UAAUAUUAUAUUUAAUAUAUUAUACUAUGUUUUUUCUUUAUUUGAAAAAAAAAAUAAUAAUGAACUAUUCAAUGAGUACUAUUUGUUUUUUUUACGUCAGCAUUUUUGGGAUUAGUUUGGUGUAGGGUAGUUUGGAAUUGAAGGGAAAAGGUGAGUAGAUAAGUUUGAGUGGGACCCACGAUUAUGAUAAUGAGAAAAGCAAGUGUUACUGUGUAGAUGAAUAAAACUCNUAUGUGUUAAUUUUGGUUGUCCGCUAUAGUUUAGAAAGUUAGCUAUUGUGGUUGGUAUUUAAAUUAAGGAUAACAUACUUCUUAUAUUGAACUUAUAUUANUUAAAGGUAUGUAUAGAUUCAUGUGUUCUAUGAGUUGAUGUGGGCUGUUUGGGUUNCUUGGUUCUUGGUAUCGAUUAACUUAGAUUCAAUUGUGGGAAUGUUAUUUUUAUAACUUGUGAUUGGUGAGUAAUGCAUAUUGUUGAGAUUAUGUAUAUGUUGAUUGUGAUACAAAGUAUAUGAUUACAAAGUGAUGAAAGUACGAUNUGAGUAGUAAACCAAGUUCCAUAAGUUCAAGAUCUCUCGGUGAGAUCUUUAGUGUUUUAAAAUGGAAGUAGGGGCUCAGCCUUGGGAGUCAUUCUGACGCUUCAAUGGUCAAUCAAACUCACUUAGAGAGGUUGAACCAUGUGGUGAGAAGUAGCAGGAGGUCCUUAGUCUUGGGGGCUCCCAGUAUGNCUCAAGGCGCGGAACGGACUAACCUCGUGAGUGUGGCAGGGUGGGGAACCCAAGUUUCAUAAGUCACCACGGGUGCAAGACUCGCCAUAGCCCGACUCUCAUUUUAAAGUCCGGACGAGUCAAGUCUAGAAUCUCACAUGUUUAGGUUGUUNGCUAUAAAAUGUGGUUGCUAUCCAUGUACUCUCUUAUGAUUAAAAUGUUUAACCUGUUGUAUGAUGUUUAUUUAUAUAAUUAGCUCACCCUUGCAAUUGUUUGUCUAUUGUGUUGCCAUGUUGUGUGUGNUGCCCUGUUGCGAUGAUCAUCCAUUUUGGAUGUGAGCAGAGGAGAAUGAGGUCACUCUNGAGCGUGCCUUGGAAGGAAAUGAAGAAGAUACUGCUGCUUAGACUCUCUAGGACCUUCUUAGUUCUUUUAUAUUGUUCUUUUGAAACACUUUCAGUUUAAUCUAUGCUCCGAUACAAUCCAGCACCUUAAGUUUUAAUUGUUUUGCCAAAUUCUGGAUAACUGUAAUCCUUAUUUAAGGACCUUAAGCACUCUCUGACUGCUUUCUAGUAUUAUAUGUGAUGACGUCUUAUUAUG